RNAcentral lists this transfer RNA (83 nucleotides) under uncultured Solirubrobacteraceae bacterium. RNAcentral describes it as "tRNA-Leu-TAA". It matches the Rfam family "tRNA". From Rfam's summary of the family: Transfer RNA (tRNA) molecules are approximately 80 nucleotides in length. Their secondary structure includes four short double-helical elements and three loops (D, anti-codon, and T loops). Lineage: Bacteria; Bacillati; Actinomycetota; Thermoleophilia; Solirubrobacterales; Solirubrobacteraceae. The record is from RNAcentral.
CCGGGUAGACGAAUUGGCAUAGUCGGUGGCCUUAAAAGCCAUGGCUCGCAAGAGCGCUGCGGGUUCGAGUCCCGCCCCGGGCA